UGCGUAGGUGGCCUUUUAAGUUGGAUGUGAAAUACCCGGGCUUAACCUGGGGGGUGCAUCUAAUACUGGGAGGCUAGAGUGCAGGAGAGGAAAGCGGAAUUCCUAGUGUAGCGGUGAAAUGCGUAGAUAUUAGGAGGAACACCAGUGGCGAAGGCGGCUUUCUGGACUGUAACUGACACUGAGGUGCGAAAGCGUGGGGAAGCAAACA
This 208-nucleotide ribosomal RNA is filed under the name uncultured bacterium. Its description in RNAcentral is "partial 16S ribosomal RNA". It matches the Rfam family "Bacterial small subunit ribosomal RNA", at positions 568 to 774 of the family's 1533-position model. The record is from RNAcentral.